This 467-nucleotide ribosomal RNA is filed under the name uncultured bacterium. Its description in RNAcentral is "partial 16S ribosomal RNA". It matches the Rfam family "Bacterial small subunit ribosomal RNA", at positions 28 to 507 of the family's 1533-position model. The record is from RNAcentral.
GACGAACGCUGGCGGCGUGCUUAACACAUGCAAGUCGAACGGAAAGGCCCUGCUUUUGUGGGGUGCUCGAGUGGCGAACGGGUGAGUAACACGUGAGUAACCUGCCCUUGACUUUGGGAUGACUUCAGGAAACUGGGGCUAAUACCGGAUAGGAGCUCCUGCUGCAUGGUGGGGGUUGGAAAGUUUCGGCGGUUGGGGAUGGACUCGCGGCUUAUCAGCUUGUUGGUGGGGUAGUGGCUUACCAAGGCUUUGACGGGUAGCCGGCCUGAGAGGGUGACCGGCCACAUUGGAAUAGGGGAGCGACCCAUAGGCCAUCGGGAGGCAGAGGCGGAAAAUUGACGGAGAAGGGCGGAGUGAGUGAGGAAGGGCGCCGGGUCGGGAAAGUCGGCCUUUGGGGUAGAACCCAUUUGCACGUAAGAGGGAGCGUGAUGAAGGGAAAUGGUAAGAAAGGCACGGGUAAAUUCGUG